RNAcentral lists this long non-coding RNA (3353 nucleotides) under Sus scrofa (pig). RNAcentral describes it as "lncRNA (ENSSSCG00040022173.1)". Lineage: Eukaryota; Metazoa; Chordata; Mammalia; Artiodactyla; Suidae. The record is from RNAcentral.
AUGUUGAGAUUUGAAAAAAAAAAUGUUUUUGUUAUUUGCUCUCCAAAGGAAACGUCAAAUGACCACCAUCACUAUGCUGUUCCUGUAACUAUUUGGUCUUUCAAAUUCAUAUGCAUUAAAGUCAGUGCAACUAAUCUAAGUCCUAAAUUACUUCCCAUUUACAGGAUGCAGUUUUACAAAACCAGAGGUAGCCGUCAAGUUGGAGCAAUGAAAAGGUCCAUUGUUGUUAGAGGAAGAAUUUCCAAGCAGGAGACAUGCAGGGUGAUAGUCCAGGUUGCUGAUGCCACCACCAUAAUUCAUCACCAGAGAUGGAGAAACUCUGUACCAUGAUGCCAGCUGGGCAAGGAAGAUCACUUUGCUGAGUGCUGGCAGGACUGAUUCAAUAGUUAUGCGGGCUCUGGGCUCCCGUGGCUGCCUUUAGCAUCUGGAUGCUGUAACUUGGAAGUUUGGUGUGGAGCGGUGUGAAACCUCAGAGGAUACAUGAAUAGGUCCAUAAACCUUCUCACACUGUCACCCUGGAAAUGGAACUCCAUAUGGCUGUCGGGGAGCUGCCCAAAGGCCACCUGCAAGGGAUCCUAGGAAGGCUGGCCGUGUACGUCCUGGGGCCACAUUCGCAGCGUAUGGAAAUUCUUAGACUAAAGGUCAAAUUGGAGCUGCAGCUGCGGACCUACACCACAGCCAUAGAAAUGUAAUCAACAGUUACGCAGACAAGCACAUUACACUCAAUGGGAGCUGUCCUUUCAAGAACUUGGUUUUGAACUGUAGAGGCUCCCACUGUGUCUUCUGAAGGUCAUGAUAAGAAAAAAUCCUGUCUACUGAGAAUGUGAGAGAGAGAUUUUGAUGGACAGUAAAUACAUCAUUUUAGAAGUGCGCUUUGGUAUCAAUUGAUCAGCUUUUGCCUCACCUAUUUUGAUAAGGAUUCUCAUAAUGAUAAAUAUAUCAAUUCUCCAAAAGACAGCAAUUUUAAAUGUGUAUGCGCCUAACAAAAAGGAUUUCAAAAUGCAGAUCCUGCUACCCACCUCCCCCAACGACAACUUGGCAUUCAUCCACAGACAGAGGUGACUUUCUGGGAGAUGAGAUUUCAGCACCACGUACCAAGGGUCCUUGGAGGAGUCUUGCCCAUCCAUGUGGAAGGAAUUGGUCCUGCUUGUGGACACUGUAGUAGCCCAUGAAUCUGCUCCAGCUCUGCUCAGCUGGGCUCCAGAAGUCCCUAAAGAACACUGAUUCUGACAAUCACUCAUGGGGCCACACAGAUCUGAGUCAAGUCUGAGACUUACACCACAGCUCACAGCAACACGGGAUCCCUAACCCACUGAGUGAGGCCAGGGAUCGAACUUGCGUCCUCAUGCAUACAAGUCAGAUUCAUGUCCACUUAGCCACGACAGGAACUCCCUAAAUAUAUUUGUUAAUAAACCAAUGGUUCUCCAGACUUUUCAGCGUACUAAGUGCUAAAGCAAACAAGAGAUUCUUCUCAAAAUAUGUCGGUGGCUUGAGAGAUGUCAUUACCAAGUGGUGAUCUAUACAGAAGGUAGGUUAGAAAGCUUUUAAUUCCUAUAUCCAUGAAUUAGCAAACUUUUUACCCCCUUUUUUAAAGUUUUUUUGAAGUAUAGUUGACUUAGAAGUUUGUGAUAAUUUCUGUUCUACAGCAAAGUGAUUCGGUUAUACAUUCAGAUUCUUUCCCCACAUAGAUUAUCCCAGAAUAUUGGACAGAGUUCCCUGUGCUAUACAACAGGUCCCCGUUGGCCAAUCAUUCCAUAUACCUCCGUGUAAUUAGCAAACAUUUAUAAAACACUUUUCAUCAGGGAAUAGAAUACUGGGAGUGUGGUCUGACUUCACUCCUCACUCUUGCCUGCAAGACCUUUCGUUGCAGUUAGAGAAACAGUUCAAGAUAUGCAGAGGCUGUCAUAGGGGAGAAGUGCAAGGGGUUCUAGACAACCAUAGCACAGGGGACCAGCCCUCCGUGGGGAAGUAGGGAGUAAGAAGUGUUUAGGAAAAAAGGCUAAAGCAUGGGGGUAUUCUCCUUGGGGUGCCAGAGUCAGCUGAUUAAGAUGAGAUCAUUCCCGAAUCCAUGUUCUCCAGCCAACAACCAGCAGGAACACACCUGAGAACAAGUGGAAUCUAGAACAAGUUGGGUUUCUUCCUCAUUGCUGUGAGUGUCUCAGUUGGAGGAUGUUAGAAGAAAGCUACUGCAGCAUUUGGGCUUAGGUUGGUGAUUUGAGGGAGAGCCUGAAAGUGGUGGGUCAUUUAGACCAGAUGCCGAAAGCCAAGGCAACUCUGAUUCAUCUGUCAAUGAAUCUUACAGACAGGAGGGAAGAUGAUGGGUAGGCAAGAGUUGUUCCUGGAAACAAAGUAGCUGUCAUUCAUUUUAACCAAAAGAAUGGAGUGUUUGGUAUUUGGGGGGUGGCACAGUGACCUUGUUUUUUUUCCCUGUACUUAGAAAACAAUUAUGAAUUGCCGUCAUUUUGUCUCACUUUAUCAUGCUCUCCAAGUACUCUUCCUUGGUGUUGGUAUUCUGUGAUACUUCUUGGUAUUUAUGUCCAGGCUCACUUGUGGAUAGCAGCAAGGCUGUUGUUUUUGUUUUUGUUUCCCUCUCACAAGGAACAUGAAGCAUGAGGGAGGCUUUUAGCUUGAAUUGGAAGACAUCCUUCUAGAAUUUUAGCAAUCAUUGAAAAAGUACAGGUCUUCUAGGCACACCCACUCCAUGUAUGAAGAAGAAACAUGAACAGAAGAGCACAUUCAGCACAUUGCUGGCUUGCAUGUAGUUUCUAAGAUUUGUUUAAACGCCUCUACUCCCAAGUUUUAUAUUUGUUGUGUUUUGAUGUAACAUUCAUAAAUGUUAAAAACACCAGUCAGAUUUCAGUUCAUCUAUCCUCCCGUAAGGAUUGUCUCAGACUGGAGCUGUGGAUUCUCUUGACUUAGGAUUUAAACCCCUAUCACUCCCCCUCCCAGCUCGAUUGAUUAGGGAAGUGGUGCAGUGAUAUCAGAGUGGAAUGAGAGAAAACCAAGUCAUCCAUUACAAAAACUCUCCAUAAAGUCUGCUCCUAAUUUGAAUGCAAAGUGUUUUAAUAAGCAAGAAUUUAACCACUGUUGGAGUUCCCCUGGUGGCGCAGUGGAAAUGAACCCGACUAAAAAGUAUGUGGUUGCAGGUUUAAUCCCUGGCCUCAGUCAGUGGGUUAAGGAUCUGGUGUUGCCAUGAGCUGUGGUGUAGGUCACAGACUUGUAGGUGUAGGCUCGGAUCUGAUGUGGCUGUGGUGUAGGCCAGCAGCUCUAGCUCUGAUUGGACCCCUAACCUGGAAAUCUCCAUAUGCCGCCAGUGUGGCCCUUAAAAGCAAAAAAAUAAAAAAAUAAAAAAA